CAGACCCCUGCCGCAUCCAGCUUCCAUUAUUCUGCCUCAAUCUGCUAUUGCCAAACCAUCCCUGACGACGGGACUAUGAUAACCGCUGCAACAUGUUCUCCUCAGCUUCCCAAGUGCUCGGUCCUUCAAACAAGGAAGCAAGCAAAUGGGAAAGGUACGGAAAGUCCAGUGCGUACAGCUGGUUUCAGCAAUUUCAACUUGCGUAAGACCCCGUUUGUGAAAGAAACCCAAGAAUCUUCGAACAGGAUGUAAUCAACCUCCGAUCUACUGAGAAACAUUGCAAAAAAAAAAAAAAAAAUGACUUCAGCUGCCAAAAAUAAUAAUGUCGUUUACAAGCAGCUUCUCCUAUGUGUAAGGAAGAGCCAGCCACCCAGGAGUCCGUGCUGGCUUUGGAGGAGCGAGGGGAGAAAGAGGCACAGUCUACCUCCCCCACUUGAAAAUGCACACUAUCAGAACCCACUGGAAGCUGCGGCCCAUUCCGAAGGUGCUGGCAACGUCGAGGGACAUUCGUAUCCACAAAAAUUCCGAACGAUUACAUUAUCUGUGCUUUCAAGUCAUCAUUGGAAAUCUGGCUCUGACUGAACUGGUGGUAUCCAAGAUGAUCUUGGACUCAACACUGAUAAGUGUGAGAUGCUUCAAAGUAUUUCGGUGCUUGUAAUUUGCUUCAAGGACUAAGAGAGACAAGUUUGAAAGCAAUAUGUUCUGAUCA
This is a long non-coding RNA of Pipistrellus kuhlii (Kuhl's pipistrelle), 709 nucleotides long. RefSeq lists it as uncharacterized. NCBI's taxonomy places the organism in Eukaryota, Metazoa, Chordata, Mammalia, Chiroptera, Vespertilionidae. The transcript has 3 exons. The record is from RefSeq and is a predicted model, not a curated record.